UACGUAGGUGGCAAGCGUUGUCCGGAAUUAUUGGGCGUAAAGAGCUCGUAGGCGGUUCGGCAAGUCGGAUGUGAAAUCUCCACGCUCAACGUGGAGGGGCCAUUCGAAACUGCCGUGACUAGAGUCCGGUAGGGGAGUGCGGAAUUCCCGGUGUAGCGGUGAAAUGCGCAGAUAUCGGGAGGAACACCAGUGGCGAAGGCGGCACUCUGGGCCGGAACUGACGCUGAGGAGCGAAAGCGUGGGGAGCGAACAGG
RNAcentral lists this ribosomal RNA (254 nucleotides) under uncultured bacterium. Its description in RNAcentral is "partial 16S ribosomal RNA". It matches the Rfam family "Bacterial small subunit ribosomal RNA", at positions 524 to 776 of the family's 1533-position model. The record is from RNAcentral.